UACGUAGGGUGCAAGCGCUAAUCGGAAUUACUGGGCGUAAAGCGUGCGCAGGCGGUUUUGUAAGCCAGAUGUGAAAGCCCCGGGCUUAACCUGGGAAUGGCAUUUGGGACUGCAAGGCUUGAGUUUGGCAGAGGAGACUGGAAUUCCUGGUGUAGCAGUGAAAUGCGUAGAUAUCAGGAGGAAUACCGAUGGCGAAGGCAGGUCUCUGGGCUAUAACUGACGCUCAUGCACGAAAGCGUGGGGAGCAAACAGG
Molecule: ribosomal RNA, 253 nt
Filed under: uncultured bacterium
Lineage: Bacteria
Description: partial 16S ribosomal RNA
Rfam family: Bacterial small subunit ribosomal RNA
Source: RNAcentral